AUGUGCCUUUAAUUCUUUGCUUUUCACUUUCAGUGAAUUCUGGAAGCCUGCAAUAGAAAACAGAGAAAAGCAUAAACCCCUCAAACUGGGAAGAACAGACUUUCCUCUGACCAGAAAAGAGACACCUGAUGGCUAGAAGUCCUGCUCAACAUCACACAAGAAGUUUGACCAACAUCCUACUUUAUAAGACAAGAAACAGUGUUUGCCCAGUAAGGAGUGUGGAAAUGGGAGGAAAUGGUGAUAAUCAUUUUGAUUGUCACAUGGUCACCUAUGGACUUAGUUUGUCACAAAACCCUAUGGAGAACCCAGAGCUGCAGUGUUCACAAGUGACCAGUUUCAAGCCCACUCUUCUGCAAAAUCACAACUGGCUCUGACAGAAGUAAGCAUUAAAUAGUGCCUGCUAGCAGCCAGUGACAUCCAGGGGUUCCUGUCCCUGCUCAGGGGAGCUGUCAUGAGCCCAUCAAAACACUGUACUCCUGCUUGUGUAUACGGAAGAUACAGCCAGGCAGCUCUGCUAACAUGUGCUUCCCAGCAGCCGGGGAACAGGCAUCUGCUGCAAGAGGAGCUCUUCUCUGUGUGUCAGUAGUAGCACUUGGUAGGUUGUGGCGGAGGAUAAUACAGUGUUGUCUCAUAAACUCUGGCUUCUGCAUAGGAAACAAAACUUGUGAGCUUUGUCUCAGAGAUCCACACUUUGAACACACCUCAUGUAAUGCUGGUAUACCUGGUACCAGCACCACAAGCGAAAGGCAAGGUACCAUAAUUCUUCUAGAAUAUUGAGAUACUUGGGCAUGUUACCUCAUAAAUCAACAAACAUGACUUUGUUCUGUUAUUAAUGGCAGCAACCACCAGAGAAGAAAUAGCAUGUCCAAAAAAGUGCCUAAGAAUGCAAGUGGUUAAGGCAUAUACAAAAGCAUAACUCAAAUCUUGAAGAGACCCGCCUUUGCUGCAGAGCACAUACUGACUCUUCUACCAUCUCCCGCAUUUCAAAACAAGUGGUCAUUCCCAUUUGCACAAAUGAGUGAUCAGGAAUAGCCCAGAUCUAAUACACCCCAUUAAAUUGCUAUUAAUGUUAAGAGAAAAAA
This is a long non-coding RNA of Pezoporus occidentalis (night parrot), 1082 nucleotides long. RefSeq lists it as uncharacterized. The record is from RefSeq and is a predicted model, not a curated record. The transcript has 2 exons. NCBI's taxonomy places the organism in Eukaryota, Metazoa, Chordata, Aves, Psittaciformes, Psittacidae.